AUUUAUGUUGGAAAGGACUUUUAAGAUCAUCGAGUCCAACUAUUAACCUGACACUGCCAUGUCCACCACUAAACCAUAUCCCUAAGCACCACAUCUACACGUCUUUUAAAUACCUCCAGGAAUGGUGACUCC
Long non-coding RNA from Aquila chrysaetos chrysaetos, 132 nucleotides. RefSeq lists it as uncharacterized. The transcript is spliced from 3 exons. Lineage: Eukaryota; Metazoa; Chordata; Aves; Accipitriformes; Accipitridae. The record is from RefSeq and is a predicted model, not a curated record.